Molecule: ribosomal RNA, 774 nt
Filed under: uncultured Neocallimastigales
Lineage: Eukaryota; Fungi; Neocallimastigomycota; Neocallimastigomycetes; Neocallimastigales
Description: partial large subunit ribosomal RNA
Rfam family: Eukaryotic large subunit ribosomal RNA
Source: RNAcentral
UACUAGAGUAGCACUCGCAUAUCAAUAAGCGGAGGAAAAGAAACUAACAAGGAUUCCCCUAGUAACGGCGAGUGAAGCGGGAAGAGCUCAAAUUUGAAAUCUUAAAGGGUUUCCCUUUACGAAUUGUAGUUUAAAGAAGUGUUUUCUGUUGAGGUUUUGGUAAAAGUUCUUUGGAAUAGGACAUCAUAGAGGGUGAGAAUCCCGUAUUUGACCUUUACUUUCAACUUUGUGAUACACUUUCAAAGAGUCGGAUUGUUUGGGAAUGCAGUCCAAAAUGGGUGGUAAAUUUCAUCUAAAGCUAAAUAUUGGCGAGAGACCGAUAGCGAACAAGUACCGUGAGGGAAAGAUGAAAAGAACUUUGAAAAGAGAGUUAAACAGUACGUGAAAUUGUCAAAAGGGAAGCGUUUGACACCAGUGUUGUCUUUCUGAAAAUCAAUUAAAGAACUGUUUAUGCUAAGUUGUUUAGACUUUAUCAGCUAACUGUUUAGUUUUGAGCUUUUCUUUAAUGCACUUUUCAGUUAACAAGUCAACAUCAAUUUCUUUUGCUGUAAAAAAGCUUGAGGAAGGUGGCUUGAGAUUCGUCUUAAGUGUUUAUAGCCUCUUGCCUAUGCAGUCGGAGAGAUUGAGGUCUGCAGCGUAGAUCCUUCGGGGCUAAAUGCAUUUGUGCUAAGUUAUAGCAUUUUAUAGACAACUUGUUGACUAUGAUUUGUCUUGUAGCUUACUCGCUUAUGUUAUUUUACCUACGCUUAGGAUGUUGAGCGCAUGUCUCUCUCU